This 415-nucleotide ribosomal RNA is filed under the name NC10 bacterium enrichment culture clone inoc SFBR 4. Its description in RNAcentral is "bacterial SSU rRNA". It matches the Rfam family "Bacterial small subunit ribosomal RNA", at positions 1000 to 1414 of the family's 1533-position model. Lineage: Bacteria; Methylomirabilota (SeqCode). The record is from RNAcentral.
CCUGAAAGGGUAGGGUGCCCGCAAGGGAGCGUGGAGACAGGUGGUGCAUGGCUGUCGUCGGCUCGUGUCGUGAGAUGUUGGGUUAAGUCCCGCAACGAGCGCAACCCUCACCCCUAGUUGCCACCGGGUAAAGCCGAGCACUCGAGGGGAACUGCCAGCGUCAAGCUGGAGGAAGGCGGGGAUGACGUCAAGUCAUCAUGCCCCUUACGUCCUGGGCUACACACGUGCUACAAUGGCCAGUACAGAGGGAUGCGAGACCGCGAGGUGGAGCCAAUCCCAAAAAGCUGGUCUAAGUUCAGAUUGCAGUCUGCAACUCGACUGCAUGAAGUAGGAAUCGUAGUAAUCGCGCAUCAGCACGGCGCGGUGAAUACGUUCCCGGGCCUUGUACACACCGCCGUCACACCACGAAAGCUGG